UUUAGAAUUUUAGUUUACAGAAUAUGGCUGCGAGUCUUUCACCUACGCUAUAUGCAAUCUCAGUUUCGUCCACAAAUUGUAAAACCCCCACUUCUUUCGGCUUCCAAAACAUUUGCCGUUAUAAUCCGCACUCUUCCCAUCGAUUAAAAGCUACUGGAAAGUUGUUUCGAGUCCAAGCAACAGUUUUGCGAGAAAAUGAGGAGAAAGUGGUAGUAGAGGAAACAUUUCAACCCAAAACUAUUACUGAUGAGAAGAAAGGAGG
Molecule: unclassified non-coding RNA, 262 nt
Filed under: Hevea brasiliensis (rubber tree)
Lineage: Eukaryota; Viridiplantae; Streptophyta; Magnoliopsida; Malpighiales; Euphorbiaceae
Source: RNAcentral